UACAAUCAACCAUCGCCAAUGCUUUUCGGACGAAAUUGGACGGCGACAGGCCGAGAGGUCCGUUGUGGAGAGGGAAAAAGCUCAUCGGGAAGGAAGCGCUCUUCGUUAUAUUAGGCUUGAAGCGAUUCAAAGACGAAAACGAAAACCUCGAUAAACUCAUCAAUCACUCGCUGCUAAGAUCAUUUUUAUACAAAAUGUCUCAAGACCCGGCUAGGAAAUAUGCAAGAGGUGAUUCGGAUACCAGACAUAAACUUACAUGCAACUUUCUACGGAUCAUUUUGGAACUUUGAUGAUUUUUUAUAAUAAAUUCAGUUAUUUAGUUAUGUAAUGUUGUUUAAAAAUUUAUAUUUUUCGUCUAAUCUUCUUCUUCUUUUUUUUAAUA
Long non-coding RNA from Salvia splendens (bonfire salvia), 382 nucleotides. RefSeq lists it as uncharacterized. The transcript is spliced from 2 exons. NCBI's taxonomy places the organism in Eukaryota, Viridiplantae, Streptophyta, Magnoliopsida, Lamiales, Lamiaceae. The record is from RefSeq and is a predicted model, not a curated record.